UGUUCAAUGCUCAGAAGCCCACAUACCUCAGCCCCUGUCAAGGGGGCGAGAAACGAGGCAAAGCAGCGGCUUUGGGGGAGGCGGUGUGAGGGAUCGAAGACUAGUUCAGGCGAGGCGUCAGGACACCCCAAACCCCACUGUUCCCCAAGCCCGGCUCCCUUUAGCCGCGGCGCUGACAGCUCAGAGGCGCCACCACUGAGGGGAGGGAGAGAAGGCGAGAGAGAGCCGAGAGGCGCCUCCUAGGAGGCGGGUGGGCAAACGGAGACCUGCGCCUCGGGGUCUCCCGGUGCCCCGGCUGGCUCCCGGCCGCCGGCGGAGGGGCGCGUCCUCACUCACCGGUUCCGGUGGCGCCGCUCUCCCAGGGCGCCCAGCACAGCGCGAGCAGCAGCCAGAGCGCCCAGCGCGCGGACGUGCCCAUGGUGCCCGCCUGGAUGGUGCCGCCGCCGCCGCCGCCGCCGUUCGCUCCGCACAACAAGUUACCAGCCCUUCCGAAAGGAGGAAGAAGGCUCCAAGCUUGAUAUAGAAGACUAUCAUACCCAGAGAGGGUAACUGAAACAAAAGAAAUUACUCCAGCAUCAAGCUAAAGACACGCCUUAAAGGAUGAGGAGGAGCAGAAAUCUUACCAGCAAGGCCAGAAAGAAGCUGUGCAUGAACAGCGUCUACUUUAGGCUCAGAUGGGAAAGAAGUUUACAGGAGACAAUCACUCUUAUACUCGUCCAUGGUCACAAACAAGAGGUCCCUGGAUCUAUAGGUCAUCUUGCCCCUGAAAUGGACCUGGAAAGCUAUGGCUGGAGAAUGGAGGAAAAGAUCACUUUCUCUGUUUCUUCAGACCAGGCAUCAGUUGGGAUGUUGGGAUGUCGAUAAAAGGAAAUCUCAUCCUUUGUUUUCUGCCUAUGCUCUCACCAUACCCAUUCCCAUGUCUGGUCGUCGUAGCGUCCAUCACAGCCCUUAACUGAAUCAUAUUGAAUACAGGAUGGUGUGAAUAUCAUGGUUUGAAUACAAGCAUGGUCCGUCCAUGUGGAUUGUUUUUUGCAGCCCACUUAGACUUAAGCCCUCUUAAUUUCAAAUUUAUUUUUGUAUGUGCCAAUAGAGCUGUCCCUAGAUGAACUG
Mandrillus leucophaeus (drill) is the source of this 1110-nucleotide long non-coding RNA. RefSeq lists it as uncharacterized. The record is from RefSeq and is a predicted model, not a curated record. NCBI's taxonomy places the organism in Eukaryota, Metazoa, Chordata, Mammalia, Primates, Cercopithecidae. The transcript is spliced from 4 exons.